CUUUUAACUAUCCUAGAUGGGAGCUUUUAUUAGAACUACAGAAAAUUUCGUGCAGAUUGUUUUUGCAGGAGCUUUGGAAGAACCUUAUUCAGUAGGAUUACCAUUGGAAGUCGAAGCAGUGUUUCAGCUCUUUCCAGAAGUUUUUGCAAGUUCCCGUCAUUAGCCAAAUCAUUGUAUUUGAAAGAUCAAGUUCUGUUAAGAUGAAGAUGUCCAUUACUUGAAGAUUGAAUAUCUUUCUAUUAACUUGCACAUUCGUUUCAUCUUUUUUGAGAUUGCAAGCCAUCAUUAAUACUGUUAAGGCUUUUUUCAUGGUAUUUCAGUUGAUUCCACCAAUAAAACAAGAUACAUGUAUAUGAGGUAGAGCCUUUGCUUAACAUUUCAAAAGUCCUGUAUUCAAACCUCAAGAUGUAGAGAAGGCAAUGAAAUCAUGACAAUUAAAAAAACUGUUUAUUAUUGAAUUUAUUGUAU
Molecule: long non-coding RNA, 468 nt
Organism: Daphnia carinata
Lineage: Eukaryota; Metazoa; Arthropoda; Branchiopoda; Diplostraca; Daphniidae
Exons: 4
Source: RefSeq, a predicted model, not a curated record